This 253-nucleotide ribosomal RNA is filed under the name uncultured bacterium. RNAcentral describes it as "partial 16S ribosomal RNA". It matches the Rfam family "Bacterial small subunit ribosomal RNA", at positions 524 to 776 of the family's 1533-position model. The record is from RNAcentral.
UACGAAGGGGGCUAGCGUUGCUCGGAAUCACUGGGCGUAAAGCGCACGUAGGCGGCUCUUUAAAUCAGGGGUGAAAUCCUGGAGCUCAACUCCAGAACUGCCCUUGAUACUGAGGAGCUUGAGUCCGGGAGAGGUGAGUGGAACUGCGAGUGUAGAGGUGAAAUUCGUAGAUAUUCGCAAGAACACCAGUGGCGAAGGCGGCUCACUGGCCCGGUACUGACGCUGAGGUGCGAAAGCGUGGGGAGCAAACAGG